Molecule: long non-coding RNA, 1024 nt
Organism: Poecilia latipinna (sailfin molly)
Lineage: Eukaryota; Metazoa; Chordata; Actinopteri; Cyprinodontiformes; Poeciliidae
Exons: 3
Source: RefSeq, a predicted model, not a curated record
UGCUAACAUGUAAGGGGUGAGGGGUUCGAAAAAACCCCUCCAGCUCUAUGACAGCACGGAUUUUCAAAGCGCAAAAGCUUCUACCACUCCCCUGAUGAGCUGCGUUUGACUCGUGGGUUGGCACCCAGUUUGCAUAUCAUUAGGAACGAGUGGAGACAACUGUGAGACGCUCCUUUGUGUCGCCAGAUUAGUCUGAAAAGCGCAAGUGGUGCCGUGAAAAGACAACCGCUGCAGUGACAACUGAAGGGACGAAAUGGGCUGAACAUGCGGAUGUGAGAGUUGAUGUGCUUUAAAGAGGAAAUGGAUGCCACACGAGGACCUGACUGACAUUCACAAGGGCCAAAUGUGAUGGCAAAGCAUUUGCAAAAUAGCAAGUCAUCUGGAAUAUUUAUGCAGUGGUUUCAACUGGAGUGGUUUUAAGAACCAGAAGCUCAUUUCGAAGCUAUAGCCCCAUUCUGACUAGCAGUUAGCUUGAGUAAUUUCUAACUAAUUUGUGCUUCUCCCAUUACAUACAGUCAUCAUGGGCAUGAAUACCAUGUUCACUUUGACUUUCAAUGAUGGAUUUUGAUAUUUUUAUUCCUUUCAAAGGCUGCUUUGAUGUGUUUUGCUCACACUGCUACACUUAAAAGUUGGUACAUUGUUCUUAGGUUGAGAGUAUUACUUAAACCUCUCCAAACACACUUCUUACAAUCCUUGUCUUCACCUCAUCGCAUUAAAUUUUUCUCCCAGAACAUAUUUGGAUUCCCUAUAUGGAUGGCUAACAGUUCCAGUCUAACUUGAAGGCAUCAGUUUUGAAGGAGGUGCUUUUUUUCUGGCUAGGCUCUCUUUCUGUCCAUGGCAACAUAAAAUUGGCUUCAUUGGGUUUGGUCCUUGGUCAUUUUCAGAAUACUGUUGAAAACCCUAACCCAUUUCUUUGUGGCUAAGGGCGAUAGUUUGGGUUACAUGGUUAAAACCUGGACAUUAUUUGAUGUUUUUAAAAAAUGUAUCACUUUAAGAUGUUAUUUUCCUCUAAUAAAACCACCAC